ACACGCGCGGGAACAACAACCGUUUCUCGGCAACAGGCAACGUGCUCACAGCCUUCUUCAGGACUCUCUAAAACAACCAGAUUAACUAUUAUAAUGCUGCUGCUGCUGCAGAAAACACCGAAGAACAGAAAAUACCGAUUAAGACCAUUUAAUUCUGGCGAUAUUUUAACAAAAAAGAAGAAAAUUAGUGGAUUUCAUUCAUUUCCUUCUUGCAGCAGCUGACACAAAUUUCAUGAGAAGGGAAGGAAUUAUUUAAAAGGAGUUUAAAAGGUGGCAUUUUUGUCUGUAUCUGGAGGCCAUUGCUAAGAGUCUGGGGACUUCUGUGCUGCCAUCGUGGAGCUGAUGAGUCUGGAAUAAAACUUUCAGAGGAAGAAACGUCACCAGUAAUCAAUGACCAAAGCUCUGUCCGUCCAUGGUGGUGAUCCUGAAGUUGUUUUCUUCACACAGAUGAUCAUUUUUGAUGAAUUGAUGACCAGUAGAUGACCAGCAUAAUUUUUGGACCUAUAUUUGGAGCCAAGUUUAAAGACUGAGAAGAUUGAUGUACUUCCCCUCAAAUCUGCCUGACGUGUCCGUCCCACCGUCAUACUGACAGAAUGUGAUGUGUUCUGGCCAAGGGACUUUAUUACUACUGUGCACUCAGGAGAAGACACCAUGCACAAGUUUUUCAGGGACUGACCUUUGGCUUCAAACCUCAGGACAGCAUGAUCUUCCUUUUUGCCAAAGUGACAAAGACGGUGUUCCCUUUUAAAUCACCUCGAAUAUCCAGAACGCUUGUUUGAGCCAAGAGGUGUUUGAUCUAGUGCACAAAACAGUUGGUUUAGGUCAAUGGAAGCUGGCAUUGGAUCAUCAGCCGCUAAACUUGAAGAUAAUGAAGCACUGUACCAGUGAAGUGUCCUUAAGAUUUAAGGCCAGAACAAACCAAGUCGAUGCCGACAAACUAGUGGCGACGAAAGCAGACUGCGGGGUUUGUUCACGUCGGCAGCGUCUGUGUCUAUAGUUGCCCCGCCACACCAAAACCGACGCUCAACAGUCGACGGCCAAGCAGCACGACAUGUCGAAUUGGCUGAAAAAAAGCCGACGAGGACCAACUUCAGCCGACGGUGCAGAACACACUGAGAAAACUUAGUCGGCCGACGAAGGAAAACUGCCCGACGGCCGACCGUCGGCUUGGUGUGUUCCUGCCUUUAGACAGGUACUGUUGUGUGUUAACAGUUUCAGUGAGCUUAUGCACACAUCGAUGUGUGAAUGUUUUCACACAGAAAUCAUGAUUUAUCCAUGAGUUCAUACUAAUAUGGUCACAUACACACUGCAAGUUUCAGGAGUGACAACUGCAUUUAAAUGCGGGAGUGAAUCCCCUAAAUUAUCGUUACAUGUGUGUACGGAACAUGACUCACUCUCGAAACUUGGAUGAUUGACAGCUCGGAAACCAUAGCGACGUUCUGGUAUCUCUCGUGUUUGGUAUCCGUUAUUGUGACCAAAGUAAUAUUACAGUGACAAAACACUCGUUAUUUUCAGCAAUUUAACUAAACGGUUGACAGAGGCGUGAUGUUUUUUUUUUUGUUUUUUUUUUUUUUUUUUUUUUUAAAUGCUUGUACAGCCUGAUUCACACAAAGCGUGCUCUUUUUGUGUUGCCAGUGUUGCCAUGAUCACAUUUAUUUUAAGCGUUUUGUGUUUGUUGUUUAAGCUCGUCUCAUAAAGUGACCAGGUGUAUGGAGUUAUUAAAGUAAGCAGACAAGAGUCACGAUAUUUUGUUCUUAUUUUCAGCAUAAAGCACUUGGAUUUAGUUCUUGUUCGCUGAUUUUUCUAGAAAAAUCUGGCAACACGAAUGAGUCAAGGCUUGUGCUUUCCCUGUGAUUCACUGUGCAUAAAAAGACAUCUCCGAUGCACGUUAAAAACGUCAUUAACAACUAGUUGUUCAGUUCAGUUCUGUACACACUACGUGGAAUUUCUGUAAAGGCGGUUAUAGAUGCAGAGUUAAUACGGUUGUAGAAGGCUGUUGUCACUCCUGUAUUUUACUGAACUGUGUGUGUACAGAACACGAUUAAGCACUAAAUGGUGAACUGACAACCGAAUUUAGCAGCAGUGUGUACGUGGCCUAUUUUUGGUCAAAUAAGAAAACAUUUACACCACCUGAGGUCACUCAGAUAUUUGGUUUUUGUGCUCUCAUGUGAGAAUGCACCUCUAGAGAUCGAGGAAAUGUUUCGUAAAUUACUCCCUGCAGACACACAUUCUCCUAUUCAGAAUAAUCCACAUCAAUCAUCAUAAGGACAAAUACUGUUGUGAUACAUUGCUCAUUCAUCUCUACUUGAAUCUCUUAAAGGGAUAAUUCACCCAAAAAUGAAAUUUCUGUCAUUUAUCUUUUGUGUGUGUGGAACUUACAUAAAAAACAUUGUAUAUUUAACCAUUUUGGUUCUCAUUGGCUCUCACUGUAUGGACCAAAAUCACUGACAUUUCUCAAAAAUAUACAGAAGAAAGUCAUACAGGUUUGUAAUGACAUGAGGGUGAGAGUUUGACAGAAAUUUGGCUGAACUGUCCCUUUAAGCAGAGGGUUGUCACAGUUUACAUUCUGUCUCAGGAUUGGAAAUGUAAUUUAUAAUACGUGGAGAUAAAAUCAUGUAGAUGAUAUGAAGAGCUUUUGAUAUUUUGUUGUCUUUGUGCCUUUUUGAUUAUGAAGAUAUCAGUCUUGCUCUGAAUCUUGCCUCCAGUGGGAUUUUACGGGAAUCCCCAAACACCUCAAGUUCCUAGAGGCAUGUGAUUUCCUCAGUGUUGCAACAAUCGCUCGCACAUUACACAAGUAUUGAAAGAAGGCAUGUGGGUUAGACAUGACUAGGUGUUUUGAAUUCUCACUAAGUGCCUACACUGGAAGUUUGUGACUGACUAAAUUGCUUCCACUAAAACCAACAAAGCUGUCUGCACUCACUAGAAAUGAGCAAUACUGCAGUGUCACAGUGGACAACUUGUUCAAGUUUUAUUUUAUUUUUUAUUCAUUCAUUGUUUUAUUUGUAUUUUUUUUUAAUAAACAGUGGUUGAGUUCAGCAGCAGAUUAAUGUUGUUGUGAAACUUACUUUUGCACUUUUGCAGUAGAAAUAGCGGCUGACUGAAAUCUGGCCUCUGUGUCAUCUGGCAGAAGCCUAUUUAACACAGUUUCACCCGCAGCUUGUCCAGUAUGCUGUCUAUCCUAAAGCAGGGGUUCUUAACUGAUCAAAUUCAUACUAGUUCAGGUGGGAUUAAGAGAACCCUAUUCUAAAGGUUCUUGCCUGGUGUAAUGGAGGACCUUGUGUUGGAUUCAUGGUUUUAGAUAUAUAUUGUUAGCACUUAUUCUUUGCUUGCACUUAAACCUAAGCUUGAUUGUGCCUUCUUUUGCUUGUUUAACUUGUGCUUAACAUAAGCACAAGUUAAAGGACUGUUUUAGAUUAGGAAAUAAUGACUCAAAAUAUAUAGCAACUUCAUAAUAUAAGUAAACAUAAGUAUAUUAUUUAUCCAAAAAGAGAUGCAUGAAUGUAAACUGUGAUUUUUGUAUUGUAUGUGGUAUAGUGAUUAUCACACACAGCCUCAAUGUGUUGUUUAUUUUGAAAAAUAAAGUUAAAUGAUCAAAA
Molecule: long non-coding RNA, 3596 nt
Organism: Megalobrama amblycephala (Wuchang bream)
Lineage: Eukaryota; Metazoa; Chordata; Actinopteri; Cypriniformes; Xenocyprididae
Exons: 4
Source: RefSeq, a predicted model, not a curated record